Scleropages formosus (Asian bonytongue) is the source of this 1104-nucleotide long non-coding RNA. RefSeq lists it as uncharacterized. Lineage: Eukaryota; Metazoa; Chordata; Actinopteri; Osteoglossiformes; Osteoglossidae. The record is from RefSeq and is a predicted model, not a curated record. The transcript is spliced from 3 exons.
CUCCCGUCCGGACGCUACACCUGUCACAUUGGUGAAAAGUAAAUAACGAGAAAAGAGGAUUUUUAAAUUAUUUUCAAAAGGUGGCUGAUUUUUAGGGAAUGCACUAUACACUAGUAUUACUCUAUAGCUGUUGUCCGCUACUGUUUUACCGUUGUUUUACAUUACUCUCGAAGCAGUACAAUGUAAGAAGUGAGCUGUGGAGCCUUAAAUCAGUUCAAGAUGUCAGCUGUUCGGCUCCUCACAGCAUUCCACAGGGUGACACCUGCUGCUGAGGCGCAUGCCUGUUAAUCCUACCAAAGAGAAAUAACACACUCUCUACAGAAGAAGCAAACCGAUGCAGAUAUACUGAACCCCACCCCUCCUCAGAACUGCUGAAUUUCUCUCUACACUUAAGAAGUGUCAAAACUCACCUCUUUCGGACUCGCUUCUCCGCUGAUCUUUGUCCGCUCUCUUCCAAUCGAAGGGUUGCUGGUUCGAAUCCCUGCCGCGGACGGUCGCGCUACUUUUGGAUCAUCAAAGCCGAUCCACAACCCUCAAAUUCGCCGUCUGCCUCUCGGACAUCUUUGCCUGAACGUCUCAUCAGCACCUAGAACGGAACCUCUCCAAAACAGAGAUCCUUCACCUCCCAGCUAGUCUGUCUUCCUGUUGAGAACCAACUUCAAAAACUGCUUCUCCCAAGCCUAUCCCGGAGACAUCGGGCACAAGGCUGGGGGGCACACCCUGGACAGGACACCAGUCCAUCACAAGGCCACGACUAGGCACCCAGGCACAGGUACCAGAGCAAUUGCAGGGCAAGCACUUUGCUCAAGGGCACCGCAGCCAGAAGCAGGGUUCAAACCAGCAACCUCCGUAACCAAAGGAAGCCGCUCCGACCACGACACCACCGCUCGAGAUUUUCCUAUUAAACUGGACAACUCGUUAAUUUCUCCUCCCUCGUUGGCUAGGAGCCUAUGAGUAAUGAUGUGUUCAUGUUUAAUAAUUUUUUUUUAAUAACAAUUUGUUUCAUGAUCAAUGAACCUUUAUGCAGAUACUCAUGUAAUGUUUACUUGUUCAUACACAGAACUUGGCAAAUGCGUCUGCCUCCAAAUUCCUCCUUCUGUUGAU